AGUGAACGCUGGCGGCGUGCUUAACACAUGCAAGUCGAGCGGGGGGAGGUAGCUUGCUACCGGACCUAGCGGCGGACGGGUGAGUAAUGCUUAGGAAUCUGCCUAUUAGUGGGGGACAACAUCUCGAAAGGGAUGCUAAUACCGCAUACGUCCUACGGGAGAAAGCAGGGGAUCUUCGGACCUUGCGCUAAUAGAUGAGCCUAAGUCGGAUUAGCUAGUUGGUGGGGUAAAGGCCUACCAAGGCGACGAUCUGUAGCGGGUCUGAGAGGAUGAUCCGCAACACUGGGACUGAGACACGGCCCAGACUCCUACGGGAGGCAGCAGGGGGGAAUAUUGGACAAUGGGGGGAACCCUGAUCCAGCCAUGCCGCGUGUGUGAAGAAGGCCUUAUGGUUGUAAAGCACUUUAAGCGAGGAGGAGGCUACUUUAGUUAAUACCUAGAGAUAGUGGACGUUACUCGCAGAAUAAGCACCGGCUAACUCUGUGCCAGCCGCCGCGGUAA
Molecule: ribosomal RNA, 501 nt
Filed under: uncultured bacterium
Lineage: Bacteria
Description: partial 16S ribosomal RNA
Rfam family: Bacterial small subunit ribosomal RNA
Source: RNAcentral